RNAcentral lists this long non-coding RNA (271 nucleotides) under Elaeis guineensis (African oil palm). Its description in RNAcentral is "long non-coding RNA (EGUI_LNC077961)". Lineage: Eukaryota; Viridiplantae; Streptophyta; Magnoliopsida; Arecales; Arecaceae. The record is from RNAcentral.
AAGUUCUAAAGGUGAGAUCCUUAAAAAUAAACUAGACCUAAAGACGAAAGAUGAGAAGAAUUAGUUAUGAUUGAGUGUUAAUUGUAAUCAAGUUAGCAAACAAUUAAACCUAAAUACCUACGGAUUUCUUAGAUCUAUAGUUAGACCUAAUAGUUUUUCUGACAAUGGUGCCAAAAAUUAAUAUGCUCGUGAUGUUGUUGUUAGGACACCAUGAUUAUCAAUCUAAUUCUGACUUUAAUAAAAAUUAAAAAUUCAUAAAAAGUAGCAAGCC